UGGUUUUCUUGCAGUGACACCGAUUGCCCGUUGCAAUGUUUGGCUCGCGCUUGCAGUUGUUGCAGAUACUCCGGAUACCAUCUAGCCCAAAUGUUUUGCAUGUGUUUCUGCACCAACUGGUACUCCUUCAAUCGAUUGUCUGGUGUUCCGGUGUGAUCGACGUCUGGUACCGCUUGCAUAUUAGAGCCGAUGAGAAAGUGUCCCGGCGUCAACGGUUCUAAAUCAGAAGGCUCAUCUGAUAAAGUAGUUAAUGGUCGAGAAUUCAAACACUGUUCCACUUGUGCCAGCAGGCUGCCUUCACCGCUGCCUCCCAUAAACCUCCGAAGUGUGGUGCCCGUGGAGGGAUAAAUUUCCAUUGGAUUUCGUUCGUCGCGUACCAAUUGAAAAUAGUAAUACGAUCGUUCUCAUCGCAUUUGAGCAUUUUGUAAAUGCGGUUCAGCUCGUGCGAUGCUCCCUUAAAUGUAGUGGCAUUAUCUGAGUGUAGCUCACUAAUUUGUCCGCGACGUGCAACUAAACGGCGUAGUGCAUUUAAAAAUGAUGUGGUGGUGAGAUCGGCUACGAGUUCAAUAUGAACGGCUCUUGUAGAAAAGCAUACAAAUAUCGCAAUAUAUGCUUUGAUUGGA
Anopheles gambiae (African malaria mosquito) is the source of this 623-nucleotide long non-coding RNA. RefSeq lists it as uncharacterized. The record is from RefSeq and is a predicted model, not a curated record. The transcript has 2 exons. NCBI's taxonomy places the organism in Eukaryota, Metazoa, Arthropoda, Insecta, Diptera, Culicidae.